GAGCUGUGAAGAAAUUGGCUUAGUGAAGGUUGGGUCCUUCACAUUCAUGUCAUGUCCAGAUGAUUCCGCCGCACCUGAGCUC
This is a small nucleolar RNA of Raphanus sativus (radish), 82 nucleotides long. RefSeq annotates it as small nucleolar RNA snoR114. The record is from RefSeq and is a predicted model, not a curated record. The transcript has a single exon. Lineage: Eukaryota; Viridiplantae; Streptophyta; Magnoliopsida; Brassicales; Brassicaceae.